RNAcentral lists this long non-coding RNA (3052 nucleotides) under Pandoravirus neocaledonia. RNAcentral's name for it is "hypothetical ncRNA". The record is from RNAcentral.
CGCGCAGGAGCGCCACGCAGGCGCGCGUGCCCUCGGUGAUUUGGCCGCGCUCGUUGGCCACGAGGGUGAGGCGCAGGUCGGGUGGCGUGGCCAGCGUGACCGGGUCGUCCGCAGGCCAUGCGACCGCGUGAGUCGCGUCGUGGAGCGACCUCGUGGCCAGCGACUUGUGACCAAUGCGUGGGUCGUCACUUCUCAUGCGCACCGGUGCCAGACGCGCGACAUGGGUUGUAGGCACGAGGUCGGGCUGCAGCGCCCAAUGGGUCUGGCCGUCCGAUGGCAUCGGCUCGGCCGUCCACGUCGUUUCCAGUGUGUCGAUGUCGACCACCACCCUGACGCGCAUCGUGCGCUCUUGAUGGCGCGCGGCCACCUCGACGAGCGCCCCCUCUACCCUCUCUUUGAUGGUGGCCAGCACGGCGUCGACAUUGGCAUUGUCUUUCAAGAGCGCGUGCGCUGCGGUCAGCACGCGGUCGACGUGGAGCGCCUGAAUGCGAUAGACGCCGUUGGGGUCCAGCCGCAGGGUUUCGACGAGCACACGCGACCCCACAGCGCCGACGGUGCGCACAACGUCGGCGUGCUCCCUGUUCUCGAUCGAUUCGUCCGUUCCUUUUGCAUCGGCGUGCAGCGUAUCGACGACAAUGAUGCCGUCGGCGGUGCGCACCAGUCGAUCGGCCUUGAGGAGGAUCUCGUCAAACUCGUCGUCGGGAUUCGAAUCAGCGACGAUGGCGCCGCCGCACCCCACCGAGACCGAGCCGUCGGCGUCGAUGACGGCCGUGCGGAUCACCACCGAUAGACAGCAGGCGCCGUCGGCCGACAGGAAGCCCAACGCGCCCGAAUAGGCACCGCGCGGUCGGCCGCGUUCGAGGCGGUCGAGAAUCUCCAUAGUGCGUGGCUUGGGCGCGCCGGUCAUGGAGCCGGGCGGAAACGCCGCGCGCACGGCAUCCAACGCGCUCGCGCCUGGCGCCAAGAGACCGUCGACAGUCGUCACCAUCUGGUGCACGGCGGCGUACGAUUCGAUGGCCAUGAGACGGUCAUGGGGCACGACGACACUGCCGGGCGCACACUGCAUGCCCAGAUCGUUGCGCACCAAGUCGACGAUCAUGAGACUCUCGGCAAAGGUCUUGGGGCACGACGCCAGGGCAGCGGCCAGCGCGGCGUCCUCGUCGGGAGUGGCGCCGCGGCGCGCGGUGCCCUUGAUGGGCUUGGACCGCGCGCGUCCGUGGCGAUCCACCGACAAAAACUUUUCCGGCGACGACGAGGCCAACACGGGCAGUCCCGGCCCGAGCCGCAAAAACGCCGCAUAGGGCGCCGGACUGGCGCGCCGCAACCGCCGAUAGUAGGCCCAUGGGUCGGUCACGACCGUGGGUCCCGCACGCGCCUUGUUGGUGAGGCACAGUUCGUAACUCUCGCCGUCGGCAAUCUCGCCCAGGCACGCGCCGAUGUCGUUCAAAUAGGCACGGCGGUCGCGAUCCAGCGAAAAUUGUGCACCCGCGGCCGGGACCACAGGCGUGUGCGUCGCGUCAUUAAGCGGCGUUUGGUUGACCGUUUUCAACAGAGCCUCGACCCGAUCAAACCACGCCUGGGCAGCAUCAGAGUCGAGGCGUCCGCCAUGUUUGUUUGACGGGUCACAGUCAACUAGAGCAACGGCGUAGGCCGCGCCGGCAACGUGGUCCAGCGCGACGAAGCGAUCGACUACCAGGAAUACGGCAUCGGGUUCACCGGGACGUGCGUCCGGGACGUGGCCCGAGGCGACACACUCGCGCCUCAACUCGUAGCCCAGAUAACCGACGAGGCCACCCCCGCACAUGCCGCACGGCAGGGCGGGGUCGGGCGCGCAGCGCAUUUCAUCGAGCAGCUGCGCCACGUGGCCCAUGAACCCGUUCGAACCGAUGGGCAAUGACUCGCAACCGUCCGCACGCCAAUGCGUGAUCUUGUCGGCGGCGAGAUCACACGCGAUGGCCUGAAUACCCUGAUCGGCACAGAUGCCCAUGUAGGAGAAGCGUCCAUCGUCGGGCGAGUCGCAACGUGACGAAUCGAGCCAAAAGCAUCUUGGGGCGUCGCCCGCGAGCGCAUCAAACGCCGCCGCAGCGUCAUUGGGGAAACAUCCGUCGGGCAGACGGCGCCAUAUGGCGCGCCGCCUAGGCGCGGCCUUGCCGGGAGCGCCGUGUAUGAGGCCGUCUAGCGGAUGGGGUGGCGGACGCACGGUGCGCGUAAAGACACGCCCCACGGGGUCGCCGUCGCUGUGUUCCUUGGCAUCGCGCGCUCCCGUCGCGCCCUCGGCAGUCGACGCCAUGUCGCGCGCAAUCGCGACAAAGUUGGCCAGCAUGGCGUCGCCGUGUUGGGCACAGACCGACUCGGGGUGAAACUGCACGCCAAAGAGCGGCAGGGUGCGAUGCGCCAGCGCCAUGACCAGACGCCCGGCCGACUCUGUCUCGGGCACCGCGCCGGUGGCGCGCGUCCACGCCGUAGCCUCUAGGCACGGCGGGAGCGUGGCCUCGUCGACGAGCCACGAGUGAUAGCGCACGACGUUGGUUCCCUGCGGGAUGUCUUCAAACAGGCCCGAUCCGGUGUGAUCGAUAGGCUCGACAACGCCGUGGGCGACGUGCGGCGCCCGCACCACGCUGCCGCCGAGCACCCACGCCAUCCCCUGAUGACCGAGGCAUACCCCCAAUAUUGGCAUGGGCGUCCAUGCGUCGGCGCCCGCGUCGGCCGCCGACGCCGCCCAACGGAGGAUAUCGGCGCAGAGACCAAAAUCGGUCGGGUCCGAAGGCACACCCGGCCCCGGACCCAAUACGACGGCGUCAAAGCGGCCCAUGCGCGGCAAGAGGUCGGACCAGGCGAUGGCGUCAUUGGCGACCACCUCGACCUCGCCCACGCACGGCUGGACGCAGAGCAGGCGCUGGCACAGGUUGUAGGUAUAGGAAUCGUGAUUGUCGAUAAUCAGCAGACGAAGGCGAUCGCGUGCCAUUGUCUCUAGCGAAAUGACGAAACAAGGGACAGAGGGGAGAAAGAGACACGAAUAGGGCCGACGAGAAUGCGGGUCUGCCUGCUCUCC